UACGUAGGGGGCAAGCGUUGUCCGGAAUCAUUGGGCGUAAAGCGCGUGUAGGCGGCUUGGUAAGUCCGCUCUGAAAGCCCGGGGCUCAACCCCGGGAGGCGGGUGGAUACUGUCAAGCUCGAGUCCGGAAGAGGCGAGUGGAAUUCCUGGUGUAGCGGUGAAAUGCGUCGAUAUCAGGAGGAACACCAGUGGCGAAGGCGGCU
This 203-nucleotide ribosomal RNA is filed under the name uncultured bacterium. RNAcentral's name for it is "partial 16S ribosomal RNA". It matches the Rfam family "Bacterial small subunit ribosomal RNA", at positions 524 to 726 of the family's 1533-position model. The record is from RNAcentral.